Molecule: signal recognition particle RNA, 100 nt
Filed under: Chloroflexota bacterium
Lineage: Bacteria; Bacillati; Chloroflexota
Description: signal recognition particle sRNA small type
Rfam family: Bacterial small signal recognition particle RNA
About the family: The signal recognition particle (SRP) is a universally conserved ribonucleoprotein involved in the co-translational targeting of proteins to membranes.
Source: RNAcentral
GAUCGGGUCCUACGCGGCAGGAGCCUAUGAACCCCGUCAGGGCCGGAAGGCAGCAGCGGUAAAUAGAUACUUUUGGGUGCCGUAGGGUCGCCUGGUUGGA